CUUUGCUAUCCCCCAGCUUCUGAAAAACAAGACAUGACUUAAAAACAGAGCUACUCUUAACCAAUGAAAAUACAAUUUUGCUCAUGCUUUCUUUGAAAGGAUGCUUUGAACUUGCAGGACAAGUAUUAUCCUAAUCUGUUGAAACCAAAUAGAAAAGAAUAGCUUUAAAAUAAAUGUUUUGAGAUUUUGAUAGAUGGGUGAAAAAUGUUAGGAAAUCUAGACAGUCAAGCUUUCUG
Molecule: non-coding RNA, 236 nt
Organism: Pelobates cultripes (western spadefoot toad)
Lineage: Eukaryota; Metazoa; Chordata; Amphibia; Anura; Pelobatidae
Source: the annotation of a GenBank genome assembly